Molecule: unclassified non-coding RNA, 328 nt
Filed under: Hevea brasiliensis (rubber tree)
Lineage: Eukaryota; Viridiplantae; Streptophyta; Magnoliopsida; Malpighiales; Euphorbiaceae
Source: RNAcentral
UACUUUGGUGAUCAGCAAGUGAAUAGCAGGUAUGUGAGUGAGAUUUGGAAGCUGGGAUUGGACAUGAAGGAUGUAUGUGAUAGAAGGGUUGUGGAGAAGAUGGUGAAUGAUCUGAUGGUGGAUAGGAGGGAGGAGUAUGUAAAGUCAACGGCUAGGAUGCAAGAGUUAGCAAGUAAGAGCGUAUCAGAAGAUGGAUCUUCUUCUUGUUGUCUGAACCGUCUGAUCGAGGACAUAAGGUUGAUGAACAAGAAGGCAUAUGCCAGCGACAAAUGACAAGGAUAACUUGUCACAAUAAAGAAUAUUUUUUUUUUUAUUUUUCUUUUCAUCU